RNAcentral lists this ribosomal RNA (377 nucleotides) under uncultured bacterium. RNAcentral describes it as "bacterial SSU rRNA". It matches the Rfam family "Bacterial small subunit ribosomal RNA", at positions 523 to 898 of the family's 1533-position model. The record is from RNAcentral.
AUACGGAGGGUGCAAGCGUUAAUCGGAAUUACUGGGCGUAAAGCGCACGCAGGCGGUCGUUUAAGUCCGUUGUGAAAGCCCUGGGCUCAACCUGGGAACUGCAGUGGAUACUGGGCGACUAGAGUGUGGUAGAGGGUAGCGGAAUUCCUGGUGUAGCAGUGAAAUGCGUAGAGAUCAGGAGGAACAUCCAUGGCGAAGGCAGCUACCUGGACCAACACUGACACUGAGGCACGAAAGCGUGGGGAGCAAACAGGAUUAGAUACCCUGGUAGUCCACGCCCUAAACGAUGCGAACUGGAUGUUGGGUGCAAUUUGGCACGCAGUAUCGAAGCUAACGCGUUAAGUUCGCCGCCUGGGGAGUACGGUCGCAAGACUGAA